CAUCCUCCAAGGCUAAAUACUCCUGACUGACCGAUAGUGAACCAGUACCGUGAGGGAAAGGCGAAAAGAACCCCGGCGAGGGGAGUGAAAAAGAACCUGAAACCGUGUACGUACAAGCAGUGGGAGCACCCUUUGGGGUGUGACUGCGUACCUUUUGUAUAAUGGGUCAGCGACUUAUAUUCUGUAGCAAGGUUAACCGUAUAGGGGAGCCGUAGGGAAACCGAGUCUUAACCGGGCGUUAAGUUGCAGGGUAUAGACCCGAAACCCGGUGAUCUAGCCAUGGGCAGGUUGAAGGUUGGGUAACACUAACUGGAGGACCGAACCGACUAAUGUUGAAAAAUUAGCGGAUGACCUGUGGCUGGGGGUGAAAGGCCAAUCAAACCGGGAGAUAGCUGGUUCUCCCCGAAAGCUAUUUAGGUAGCGCCUCGUGAAUUCAUCUCCGGGGGUAGAGCACUGUUUCGGCUAGGGGGCCAUCCCGGCUUACCAACCCGAUGCAAACUGCGAAUACCGGAGAAUGUUAUCACGGGAGACACACGGCGGGUGCUAACGUCCGUCGUGAAGAGGGAAACAACCCAGACCGCCAGCUAAGGUCCCAAAGUCAUGGUUAAGUGGGAAACGAUGUGGGAAGGCCCAGACAGCCAGGAUGUUGGCUUAGAAGCAGCCAUCAUUUAAAGAAAGCGUAAUAGCUCACUGGUCGAGUCGGCCUGCGCGGAAGAUGUAACGGGGCUAAACCAUGCACCGAAGCUGCGGCAGCGAACGUAUCACCCAAGACAACUUUACGGAGUUGACGAUUGACGGAGCGAAGCGACGUCAAAGCGUUCAUUAAAGUCGAGUUGGCUUAGGGAUACGUUCGUUGGGUAGGGGAGCGUUCUGUAAGCCUGUGAAGGUGUGUCGUGAGGCAUGCUGGAGGUAUCAGAAGUGCGAAUGCUGACAUAAGUAACGAUAAAGCGGGUGAAAAGCCCGCUCGCCGGAAGACCAAGGGUUCCUGUCCAACGUUAAUCGGGGCAGGGUGAGUCGACCCCUAAGGCGAGGCCGAAAGGCGUAGUCGAUGGGAAACGGGUUAAUAUUCCCGUACUUGGUGUUACUGCGAAGGGGGGACGGAGAAGGCUAUGUUGGCCGGGCGACGGUUGUCCCGGUUUAAGCGUGUAGGUGUGUGUUCCAGGUAAAUCCGGUUCACUUUAACACUGAGGCGUGACGACGAGGCACUACGGUGCUGAAGCAACAAAUGCCCUGCUUCCAGGAAAAGCCUCUAAGCAUCAGGUAACAUCAAAUCGUACCCCAAACCGACACAGGUGGUCAGGUAGAGAAUACCAAGGCGCUUGAGAGAACUCGGGUGAAGGAACUAGGCAAAAUGGUGCCGUAACUUCGGGAGAAGGCACGCUGACACGUAGGUGAAGUGAUUUACUCAUGGAGCUGAAGUCAGUCGAAGAUACCAGCUGGCUGCAACUGUUUAUUAAAAACACAGCACUGUGCAAACACGAAAGUGGACGUAUACGGUGUGACGCCUGCCCGGUGCCGGAAGGUUAAUUGAUGGGGUCAGCGCAAGCGAAGCUCCUGAUCGAAGCCCCGGUAAACGGCGGCCGUAACUAUAACGGUCCUAAGGUAGCGAAAUUCCUUGUCGGGUAAGUUCCGACCUGCACGAAUGGCGUAAUGAUGGCCAGGCUGUCUCCACCCGAGACUCAGUGAAAUUGAACUCGCUGUGAAGAUGCAGUGUACCCGCGGCAAGACGGAAAGACCCCGUGAACCUUUACUAUAGCUUGACACUGAACAUUGAGCCUUGAUGUGUAGGAUAGGUGGGAGGCUUUGAAGCGUGGACGCCAGUCUGCGUGGAGCCGACCUUGAAAUACCACCCUUUAAUGUUUGAUGUUCUAACGUGGACCCGUAAUCCGGGUUGCGGACAGUGUCUGGUGGGUAGUUUGACUGGGGCGGUCUCCUCCUAAAGAGUAACGGAGGAGCACGAAGGUUGGCUAAUCCUGGUCGGACAUCAGGAGGUUAGUGCAAUGGCAUAAGCCA
Molecule: ribosomal RNA, 2013 nt
Filed under: Salmonella enterica subsp. enterica serovar Heidelberg
Lineage: Bacteria; Pseudomonadati; Pseudomonadota; Gammaproteobacteria; Enterobacterales; Enterobacteriaceae
Description: partial 23S ribosomal RNA
Rfam family: Bacterial large subunit ribosomal RNA
Source: RNAcentral